UCCAAGAAAUGUUUCAUCGAACAAUCCAGCAUCUACAUUCGACCUGAAUAGGAAGUAAGAACAAUAAGCACAGGCUUCAAACCACUGUAAUACACUAGACUUGCAACCCAUGAUUCGUUCCACAAGAUCAAACCAAAUCCUGAAAAAGGAAAUGCAGAAACAUUAGUCCUAUCUCCUAGUCAAACUAAUCAUCUGCAUAAAGAAAAUGCUGAAAACUUAUUUGCCAUUUAACAUACAUUGCUAUGAUCACCUAAAAACUCCGUAGGAUUUAUCUGACGAAAGUUUCAAUUAAUCCGAUCUAAAGUGAUACUGAUCGUAGAGACAGAUAGCUAGGGGCAGUUUUCAGCAGAAACAAUAAUUUAUAUAUGAACUCUACAGAUUAUAUGAGCUAAAAAAGUAGCGAUCAAUUGCAAUUUUCUCCUUUAUUUCCUCUAAAAUCCUAGGGGAAAAAAAACUCGAAAAGUAUCUUCAACAUUCAAGUUCUCAGUUAACAAACACGAUCAUCUUCAGUUAUCAAGUCCUCCAUCAAUCAUCAUCAUCAAACAAAUUAACAAUUUUAAGUGAUUAAUUACAAAUAAGGAAAGGGGGAAAAAAUGAGAAAAUUAUUUUCAGAAAAUACCCAUUAAAACAAAAGGGAGGCAACAGAAAUCAUCUCUAUGAAAACCAGAAGAAAAAGGAGAGGUUCUAUAUGUAGUAUCGAAAGUUAUAUAUAUAUUAUCAGGAAAAAAUUUGUAGAGGCGAAUAGAUAAGAGAAAUGAAAUUUCCCUUAU
RNAcentral lists this long non-coding RNA (770 nucleotides) under Nicotiana tabacum (common tobacco). RNAcentral's name for it is "long non-coding RNA (NTAB_LNC009924)". The record is from RNAcentral. Lineage: Eukaryota; Viridiplantae; Streptophyta; Magnoliopsida; Solanales; Solanaceae.